AUUGAACGCUGGCGGAAUGCUUUACACAUGCAAGUCGAACGGCAGCACGGGGGCAGCCCUGGUGGCGAGUGGCGAACGGGUGAGUAAUACAUCGGAACGUGCCCGGUCGUGGGGGAUAACGUAGCGAAAGUUACGCUAAUACCGCAUACGAUCUGCGGAUGAAAGCGGGGGACCUUCGGGCCUCGCGCGAUCGGAGCGGCCGAUGUCAGAUUAGGUAGUUGGUGGGGUAAAGGCCUACCAAGCCGACGAUCUGUAGCUGGUCUGAGAGGACGACCAGCCACACUGGGACUGAGACACGGCCCAGACUCCUACGGGAGGCAGCGGUGGGGAAUUUUGGACAAUGGGCGCAAGCCUGAUCCAGCCAUUCCGCGUGCAGGACGAAGGCCUUCGGGUUGUAAACUGCUUUUGUACGGAACGAAAAGGCUCUGGCUAAUACCUGGGGCUCAUGACGGUACCGGAAGAAUAAGCACCGGCUAACUACGUG
This 484-nucleotide ribosomal RNA is filed under the name uncultured bacterium. RNAcentral's name for it is "partial 16S ribosomal RNA". It matches the Rfam family "Bacterial small subunit ribosomal RNA", at positions 29 to 507 of the family's 1533-position model. The record is from RNAcentral.